CCUACGGGAGGCAGCAGUGGGGAAUCUUGCACAAUGGAGGAAACUCUGAUGCAGCGAUGCCGCGUGAGUGAAGAAGGCCUUGGGUUGUAAAGCUCUUUUGUAGGGAAGAUAAUGACUGUACCCUAGAUAGUCGUCG
RNAcentral lists this ribosomal RNA (136 nucleotides) under uncultured freshwater bacterium. Its description in RNAcentral is "partial 16S ribosomal RNA". It matches the Rfam family "Bacterial small subunit ribosomal RNA", at positions 338 to 496 of the family's 1533-position model. The record is from RNAcentral.